GAAGUGGGACAUGUGAAGUUAUGUCCACAACUACGAGGCCUGAUGCUGAUUUCAUAAUCAUGAACUGCCAGCCCAAUUUCAGUGAAAAGGGGACAUCUAAGGGGAGAACUGAGAGGAAGAUCAUCAACUUUCUAAAAAGAUUUCUUGCAGGAGGUUGAAAUGUCAGACAACUUCGCCCAAAGAGUCGAACCAGCUGACUGAGGAAACAGAAUUAUAGUUCACGGCUGUAAUGGUACCGCCACCGUUAACAAUCCCAGCAAACUUUCUGUUG
Molecule: long non-coding RNA, 271 nt
Organism: Perca flavescens (yellow perch)
Lineage: Eukaryota; Metazoa; Chordata; Actinopteri; Perciformes; Percidae
Exons: 3
Source: RefSeq, a predicted model, not a curated record